AGUGAACGCUGGCGGUAGGCCUAACACAUGCAAGUCGAACGGCAGCACAGUAAGAGCUUGCUCUUACGGGUGGCGAGUGGCGGACGGGUGAGGAAUACAUCGGAAUCUACUUUUUCGUGGGGGAUAACGUAGGGAAACUUACGCUAAUACCGCAUACGACCUACGGGUGAAAGCAGGGGAUCUUCGGACCUUGCGCGAUUGAAUGAGCCGAUGUCGGAUUAGCUAGUUGGCGGGGUAAAGGCCCACCCAGGCGACGAUCCGUAGCUGGUCUGAGAGGAUGAUCAGCCACACUGGAACUGAGACACGGUCCAGACUCCUACGGGAGGCAGCAGUGGGGAAUAUUGGACAAUGGGCGCAAGCCUGAUCCAGCCAUACCGCGUGGGUGAAGAAGGCCUUCGGGUUGGAAAGACCUUUUGUUGGGAAAGAAAAGCAGCAGGUUAAUACCCCGCUGUUCUGACGGUACCCAAUGAAUAAGCACCGGCUAACUUCGUG
Molecule: ribosomal RNA, 492 nt
Filed under: uncultured bacterium
Lineage: Bacteria
Description: partial 16S ribosomal RNA
Rfam family: Bacterial small subunit ribosomal RNA
Source: RNAcentral